GAUUAGGUGGCUCGUGCAGAGGGCCUGCGGCUCCCCACGAGGCCGUUUGGAGUCUUUCGAGCUUCGGCCCUGUCGGACUCAGGCUGCGGAACGUUCCCGCUUCUGGAAAUGCCUGGCGUCUCGGCUGUCACUGAACCUGACCAGGUGGUUCUGUGCCAGGCAGCCGAGACCUGUAGAGGGAGCCUCCGUGGUGGAGCAUUUUAGCUCAGUUUCAAACUUCAGACAGUAACCUUUUUGGUUUCCUUGUACCUACUGCUAAAAGUGUUGAGGCUAAAGUUUUCUUCGGAAGAUGCAAGGCAUUUUUUUUUUUUUGAGACAGGGUCUCACUGAGCACCUAGCUGGGCUUGAACUCGGGCUUCAUCAGCUUUCUCUUUGCCAGGAUUAUAGAAAAAGAGAGACAGAGAAUCUUCCACUGUAUUGUUGGUGAGGGCAUAAACAUCUACCCCCACCUCUUCUCAGCCCUGAUGAAUGGACGGAAUAUACAGAUAUAGAAGACCCCAGGACAUCUGUGUGAGCAGUGAGAUGGUGAUUUGAGGAAGAUGCA
Long non-coding RNA from Fukomys damarensis (Damara mole-rat), 544 nucleotides. RefSeq lists it as uncharacterized. NCBI's taxonomy places the organism in Eukaryota, Metazoa, Chordata, Mammalia, Rodentia, Bathyergidae. The record is from RefSeq and is a predicted model, not a curated record. The transcript has 3 exons.